CAACAGUCUGGCCGCUGUGCUCUGGGUGGUGCAUUCUUUCCCAUCUGCCGGGAAAUCCUCCCAUUUUCCUGAGAAGCCCAGAGUGGAUGGGCUCGAUUUCUAGCAGCACAUUGCACUCCGACUUCUUUGCAGUGAGGUGUGGCCAUUUGAAUAAGCUCUUGCCAAUGUGUUAUUAGCAGAACUGGAACCUCUGAGAAAUCUCUCAAAAUGAGAAGGGAUCACCUCUUCUCUAACACCUAGGAUGGUAAAUCCCCUUCUCUGCGCAGCAGAAGUCAGAAUAGUGGUUAUCUUGGGUGGUUUGACAACGGAAAGGGGCACCAAAAGCAGAUUUAUCUCUGGACCCGGGUGGUAGCUACACAAAUGUAGUGCAGAUGUGGUCACUAUCCACUAUCCCUAAGAUUAGUGUGCUUUCUUUUCUGUAUAUUGUAUACUAGUAAUGACA
Chinchilla lanigera (long-tailed chinchilla) is the source of this 442-nucleotide long non-coding RNA. RefSeq lists it as uncharacterized. The record is from RefSeq and is a predicted model, not a curated record. NCBI's taxonomy places the organism in Eukaryota, Metazoa, Chordata, Mammalia, Rodentia, Chinchillidae. The transcript is spliced from 3 exons.